AUUGAACGCUGGCGGAAUGCUUUACACAUGCAAGUCGAACGGCAGCACGGGGGCAACCCUGGUGGCGAGUGGCGAACGGGUGAGUAAUACAUCGGAACGUGCCCAGUCGUGGGGGAUAACGUAGCGAAAGCUACGCUAAUACCGCAUACGAUCUAAGGAUGAAAGCGGGGGAUCGGAAGACCUCGCGCGAUUGGAGCGGCCGAUGGCAGAUUAGGUAGUUGGUGGGGUAAAGGCUCACCAAGCCGACGAUCUGUAGCUGGUCUGAGAGGACGACCAGCCACACUGGGACUGAGACACGGCCCAGACUCCUACGGGAGGCAGCAGUGGGGAAUUUUGGACAAUGGGCGCAAGCCUGAUCCAGCCAUUCCGUGUGCAGGAUGAAGGCCCUCGGGUUGUAAACUGCUUUUGUACAGAACGAAAAGGUUUCUACUAAUACUAGGAGCUCAUGACGGUACUGUAAGAAUAAGCACCGGCUAACUACGUGCCAGCCGCCGCCGUAA
Molecule: ribosomal RNA, 500 nt
Filed under: uncultured bacterium
Lineage: Bacteria
Description: partial 16S ribosomal RNA
Rfam family: Bacterial small subunit ribosomal RNA
Source: RNAcentral